Molecule: ribosomal RNA, 140 nt
Filed under: uncultured bacterium
Lineage: Bacteria
Description: partial 16S ribosomal RNA
Rfam family: Bacterial small subunit ribosomal RNA
Source: RNAcentral
UGGGGAAUAUUGGGCAAUGGGCGCAAGCCUGACCCAGCAACGCCGCGUGAGUGAAGAAGGUCUUCGGAUUGUAAAGCUCUGUCCUUGGGGACGAAACAAAUGACGGUACCCAAGGAGGAAGCUCCGGCUAACUACGUGCC